Molecule: ribosomal RNA, 494 nt
Filed under: uncultured bacterium
Lineage: Bacteria
Description: bacterial SSU rRNA
Rfam family: Bacterial small subunit ribosomal RNA
Source: RNAcentral
AUGAACGCUAGCGACAGGCCUAACACAUGCAAGUCAGGGGCAGCACAAGGAGCAAUCUGAGGUGGCGACCGGCGCACGGGUGAGUAACACGUAUGCAACCUGCCUGUAAGCGGGGAAUAACCCGUUGAAAGACGGACUAAUACCGCAUAAUACUAAAUUACUGCAUGGUAAUUUAUUUAAACAUUUAUGGCUUACAGAUGGGCAUGCGCAUGAUUAGCUAGUUGGAGAGGUAACGGCUCCCCAAGGCAACGAUCAUUAGGGGUUCUGAGAGGAAGGUCCCCACACUGGUACUGAGACACGGACCAGACUCCUACGGGAGGCAGCAGUGAGGAAUAUUGGUCAAUGGACGAGAGUCUGAACCAGCCAAGUCGCGUGCAGGAAGAAUGUCCUUAAUGGAUUGUAAACUGCUUUUGCAGGGGAAUAAAGUGCAUCACGUGUGAUGUUUUGUAUGUACUCUGCGAAUAAGGAUCGGCUAACUCCGUGCCAGCCGCUGC